GAAACAUCUUAGUACCCGGAGGAAGAGAAAGAAAAUUCGAUUCCCUUAGUAGCGGCGAGCGAAACGGGAAGAGCCCAAACCAACAAGCUUGCUUGUUGGGGUUGUAGGACACUCUAUACGGAGUUACAAAGGACGACAUUAGACGAAUCAUCUGGAAAGAUGAAUCAAAGAAGGUAAUAAUCCUGUAGUCGAAAAUGUUGUCUCUCUUGAGUGGAUCCUGAGUACGACGGAGCACGUGAAAUUCCGUCGGAAUCUGGGAGGACCAUCUCCUAAGGCUAAAUACUCUCUAGUGACCGAUAGUGAACCAGUACCGUGAGGGAAAGGUGAAAAGCACCCCGGAAGGGGAGUGAAAUAGAACCUGAAACCGUGUGCUUACAAGUAGUCAGAGCCCGUUAAUGGGUGAUGGCGUGCCUUUUGUAGAAUGAACCGGCGAGUUACGAUUUGAUGCAAGGUUAAGCAGUAAAUGUGGAGCCGUAGCGAAAGCGAGUCUGAAUAGGGCGUUUAGUAUUUGGUCGUAGACCCGAAACCAGGUGAUCUACCCUUGGUCAGGUUGAAGUUCAGGUAACACUGAAUGGAGGACCGAACCGACUUACGUUGAAAAGUGAGCGGAUGAACUGAGGGUAGCGGAGAAAUUCCAAUCGAACCUGGAGAUAGCUGGUUCUCUCCGAAAUAGCUUUAGGGCUAGCCUCAAGUGAUGAUUAUUGGAGGUAGAGCACUGUUUGGACGAGGGGCCCCUCUCGGGUUACCGAAUUCAGACAAACUCCGAAUGCCAAUUAAUUUAACUUGGGAGUCAGAACAUGGGUGAUAAGGUCCGUGUUCGAAAGGGAAACAGCCCAGACCACCAGCUAAGGUCCCAAAAUAUAUGUUAAGUGGUAAAGGAUGUGGCGUUGCCCAGACAACUAGGAUGUUGGCUUAGAAGCAGCCAUCAUUUAAAGAGUGCGUAAUAGCUCACUAGUCGAGUGACACUGCGCCGAAAAUGUAUCGGGGCUAAA
Molecule: ribosomal RNA, 992 nt
Filed under: Staphylococcus aureus
Lineage: Bacteria; Bacillati; Bacillota; Bacilli; Caryophanales; Staphylococcaceae
Description: partial 23S ribosomal RNA
Rfam family: Bacterial large subunit ribosomal RNA
Source: RNAcentral